UAAUCGAAUGACACCAAGCCAAACACUCGCAAAUACACAUAUGGCCACUAGAUUUCGCUGCAGAUUGUGAUGUGUGUUCUGAUCGAAGGCAAUUUACCUUUUUCCUAAGAAACCUUCUCUUAGUCAUUGAUUGUAAACACCAUGUUUAGUUGCAAAAUUUGGCCCAGACUCUGGAUUAUCUGUUUGUGGUGGUUUUAUGCGAUCAGAAUCAACUUUGUGGACAAAAAUCACAAAGGUAAAACUUCAUUUUUGGUUGUUAAAAGAAAAGAGGAUGUUUCUUCUUAAAUUGUUAUUUGUGAGUUUUAGUCACAGAAUGAUAUGGUUUGGACUGUCGGAAUAAGUGGAGGAUCAGCUUUCAUAUAAUAUAUAGUUUGUGAAGAUCCAAUUUCGUGAAAAAGAUCGCUAUUGCAUGUGCACAGUUAUGAUUUUGCGGAACAAAAGCUUUCAUCCAAAGCAACUUACAUCGUUUAAUAGUGUCAACCGGUUCCCUUGUAUUUAUUGAUGAUGUGACAGCUGAAAAAAGCAGCAGGAUGAAUUCUGAAGUGUUUCAGGCAAUAUUAUCUGCUCAUAUUCAGCCAAAUGCUUCAGAACUCAUUGGACGGCACUUCAGUGCAGAUGGACAAUGACCCGAAGCAUACUGCGAAAGCAACCAAAGAGGGUUUUUUUUGAGCAUGCAUUUCACUUGCUGAAGACAAACCUGAAGGGAAAAUUCCCCAACAGAACAAGCAGGAACUGAAGACAGUUACAGUAGAGGCCUGGUAGAGCAUCACCAGGGAUGAAACCCAGCGUCUGGUGAUGUCUAUGCCAGGGAUAAAAUUAACGACGUCCGUCGUCCCGGGGACGUAAUUAAUUGUCAUCGGGAGGAUUUUUAUUCUCUCUCGGGUCGACCUCAGAACGAAGAGAAUUUUGCGUGCACUGACUUCAUUUUUUUCUGUUUAAGUUUUCAACACUUUCUGCAAACCAGAACGUGUCGCGAUCGGUGGAAAAUAAUUAUUUAAUGGAAAGGGCUUCGUUCAAUUGGCUGGCGCGCUCGCGUUUGUGUUGUUCAGUGAGGCAGAGGGGGUAAAAUCGUUUGUCAUGGCGCAGGCUUUCUUGGUUCACUGGAGAAGGUGGGGCUGCGCACAGAGUCUAGACCUCUAAUUUUCAAAGUGGACCGACCCACCGGGAGACUUCCCGAUCUCCAGCCUAUGCUGCAGAGCGAAUUUAAAUCGCCGGCAGAACGGCCUGGGGGUCUAACACCGUCAUUUAUAUAAAUUUCAUAUGUAUAUAUAUAUAGUAUUUCACAUUAAUCGCAAUUAUUACACGGGUCUUCUCAAUGCCACGAAACGCUCUGUUCACUUGCAUGGGCCCUUCACAACUUCCGGUGGUGAAUUAUAUCUGAUAAUUCACCGUUGCUAAGUAUAAUCAUGAGUAUAAUUGACCACUGUCAAAACUGGAAAACAACAGAUUUUUCGCCUGUAAUGAUGUCUUCGGUAUCACUCCGCAAGUACCGGUAACUUGUCAACCCAAGCGUCUUCGGUUGCUAAGCGACGGCAACGUCUUUGGCGGACUAUUUCUCUGCUGAUCAACGCUACGAAUUCUGGUAUCAAAUAAAUUGUAAAAAGACACACCAUGUGAAGUUAUUUUUUCGUUUUGGCAAGUAGCCGUCUAAUAAGCGGGAUAAUGUAGAGAACAUCGCCGGUCAUGAUCGAAAAUAAGCCCCUUCAGGGCAAAGCAAGUUUGCCCUGUUGGGGCUUAUUUUCCCGAUAAUUACCGGCGUUCUAUACAUUAUCCCUUACGAUAUCCCGCUGCUUCGGGUUUGCCUUUGUAGCCGCAUUGAGAGGAGGAGCGGGCGAAUCCGCUGUCAGUGCGUGUGCAUGUAUGAUACGCAGGUUUAUCCAAUAAGUGGUAGAGUAACCACGCACCAUUGGCAUGUAUGCGCGCUUGUCUCUGUGUGCGCGCUUGUCUCUGUGUGCGUGUGUGAACGAGAAUGACGGGGAGAAAGAUGGGCUACGCGGAGAUGACUGAACGGAACGAUAUUUAUGUUUCAAAAUCAAAAAAAAAAGAAAAGUAAAAAGCAGAAUCAAUUUGUGGCGCUCUGUGUUGAAUCUGUGGCGCUGCGCCACACAUUGUUCUAUGUAUCUAUUCUCUUUUGAGACAGCGCAACUCUCUACCCAAGCCCCCCCUGGAACCACGGAGCCGUCGCAUUUACAUCAGAAUGAAACC
Gadus macrocephalus (Pacific cod) is the source of this 2205-nucleotide long non-coding RNA. RefSeq lists it as uncharacterized. The transcript has 2 exons. The record is from RefSeq and is a predicted model, not a curated record. NCBI's taxonomy places the organism in Eukaryota, Metazoa, Chordata, Actinopteri, Gadiformes, Gadidae.